Molecule: ribosomal RNA, 301 nt
Filed under: uncultured bacterium
Lineage: Bacteria
Description: partial 16S ribosomal RNA
Rfam family: Bacterial small subunit ribosomal RNA
Source: RNAcentral
CAGCCGCCACGGUAAUACGUAGGGUGCAAGCGUUGUCCGGAAUUAUUGGGCGUAAAGAGCUCGUAGGCGGUUUGUCGCGUCUGCUGUGAAAACUGGAGGCUCAACCUCCAGCCUGCAGUGGGUACGGGCAGACUAGAGUGCGGUAGGGGAGAUUGGAAUUCCUGGUGUAGCGGUGGAAUGCGCAGAUAUCAGGAGGAACACCGAUGGCGAAGGCAGAUCUCUGGGCCGUAACUGACGCUGAGGAGCGAAAGCGUGGGGAGCGAACAGGAUUAGAUACCCGGGUAGUCCCUGUCUCUUAUAA